GGUCUUAUAUUCAAAAAUGAUAUUGGAAUGCAAUUCUGAUGGUGUAAAUUAAUACUAAGACUU
RNAcentral lists this transfer RNA (63 nucleotides) under Anaxarcha graminea. RNAcentral's name for it is "tRNA-Cys". Lineage: Eukaryota; Metazoa; Arthropoda; Insecta; Mantodea; Hymenopodidae. RNAcentral also lists the same sequence under 1 other name. The record is from RNAcentral.